CGAACGCUGGCGGCAGGCCUAACACAUGCAAGUCGAACGCAUGCCUUCGGGCAUGAGUGGCGCACGGGUGAGUAACGCGUGGGAACCGACCCUGGGGUUGGGGAUAACCGCUGGAAACGGCGGCUAAUACCCGAUACGCCUUGAGGGGGAAAGAUUUAUCGCCCUGAGACGGGCCCGCGUUGGAUUAGGUAGUUGGUGGGGUAACGGCCUACCAAGCCUACGAUCCAUAGCUGGUUUGAGAGGAUGAUCAGCCACACUGGGACUGAGACACGGCCCAGACUCCUACGGAAGGCAGCAGUGGGGAAUAUUGGACAAUGGGGCCAACCCUGAUCCAGCCAUGCCGCGUGAGUGAAGAAGGCCUUAGGGUUGCAAAGCUCUUUCAGUGGUGAAGAUGAUGACGGUAGCCACAGAAGAAGCCCCGGCUAACUCCGUGCCAGCAGCCGCGGUAAUACGGAGGGGGCAAGCGUUGUUCGGAAUUACUGGGCGUAAAGGGCGCGUAGGCGGAUAUUCAAGUCAGAGGUGAAAGCCCCGGGCUCAACCUGGGGAAUUGCCUUUUGAAACUGGAUGUCUGGGAGU
Molecule: ribosomal RNA, 576 nt
Filed under: alpha proteobacterium SK9A11
Lineage: Bacteria; Pseudomonadati; Pseudomonadota; Alphaproteobacteria
Description: bacterial SSU rRNA
Rfam family: Bacterial small subunit ribosomal RNA
Source: RNAcentral